Molecule: ribosomal RNA, 406 nt
Filed under: uncultured bacterium
Lineage: Bacteria
Description: partial 16S ribosomal RNA
Rfam family: Bacterial small subunit ribosomal RNA
Source: RNAcentral
AUUGAACGCUGGCGGCAGGCUUCACACAUGCAAGUCGAGCGAGCGGCGGACGGGUGAGUAAUGUCUGGGAAACUGCCUGAUGGAGGGGGAUAACUACUGGAAACGGUAGCUAAUACCGCAUACCAUCAGAUGUGCCCAGAUGGGAUUAUAUCGUCGGUUGGGUAAUGGCUCACCUAGUCGACGAUCCCUAGCUGGUCUGAGAGGAUGACCAGCCACACUGGAACGUAGACACGUUCCAGACUCCUACGGGAGGCAGCAUGGGGGAAUAUUGCACAAUGGGCGCAAUCCUGAUGCAGCCAUGCCGCGUGUGUGAAGAAGGCCUUCGGGUUGUAAAGCACUUUCAGCGAGGAGGCGUUACUCGCAGAAGAAGCACCGGCUAACUCCGUGCCAGCAGCCGCGGUAAUUC